GAUGAAGAACGUAGCGAAAUGCGAUAAGUAAUGUGAAUUGCAGAAUUCAGUGAAUCAUCGAAUCUUUGAACGCACAUUGCGCCCCUUGGUAUUCCGAGGGGCAUGCCUGUUCGAGCGUCAUUAUAACCCCCCAAGCUUAGCUUGGUGUUGGGGCUUGCUGUAAUAGAGCAGCCCUUAAAAUCAGUGGCGGUGCCAUUAGGCUCUAAGCGUAGUAAUUCUUCUCGCUAUAGGGUUCUGGUGGAUGCUUGCCAUUAACCUCUAAUUUUCUAUGGUUGACCUCGGAUCAGGUAGGGAUACCCGCUGAACUUAAGCAUAUCAAUAAGCGGAGGA
RNAcentral lists this unclassified non-coding RNA (330 nucleotides) under soil metagenome. RNAcentral describes it as "partial contains 5.8S ribosomal RNA, internal transcribed spacer 2, and large subunit ribosomal RNA". The stretch from base 1 to 120 matches the Rfam family "5.8S ribosomal RNA", at positions 35 to 154 of the family's 154-position model. The record is from RNAcentral.